UUUAAUAAUUGAGGUCGAGAACCUCCACAAAUUAACA
This is a regulatory RNA element of Polaribacter irgensii 23-P, 37 nucleotides long. It matches the Rfam family "S16-Flavobacteria ribosomal protein leader". Lineage: Bacteria; Pseudomonadati; Bacteroidota; Flavobacteriia; Flavobacteriales; Flavobacteriaceae. The record is from Rfam.